RNAcentral lists this ribosomal RNA (421 nucleotides) under uncultured bacterium. RNAcentral's name for it is "bacterial SSU rRNA". It matches the Rfam family "Bacterial small subunit ribosomal RNA", at positions 355 to 774 of the family's 1533-position model. The record is from RNAcentral.
UAAGGAAUAUUGGUCAAUGGACGCAAGUCUGAACCAGCCAUGUCGCGUGAAGGAUGAAGGUCCUCUGGAUUGUAAACUUCUUUUAUCUGGGACGAAAACGGGAUUUUUAUCUCAAUUGACGGUACCAGAGGAAUAAGCACCGGCUAACUCCGUGCCAGCAGCCGCGGUAAUACGGAGGGUGCGAGCGUUAUCCGGAUUUACUGGGUUUAAAGGGUGCGUAGGUGGGCUUAUAAGUCAGUGGUGAAAUCUCAUAGCUUAACUAUGAAACGGCCAUUGAUAUUGCAGGCCUUGAGUAAAUUUGAAGUAGCUGGAAUAAGUAGUGUAGCGGUGAAAUGCAUAGAUAUUACUUAGAGCACCGAUUGCGAAGGCAGGUCACUAAGAUUUAACUGACGCUGAUGGACGAAAGCGUGGGGAGCGAACA